GUCGAGGGCACCCGCAACAAAGCCAUUUCUAGCUUCUAUUGGCCAACAAUGAUUCAGGACAUCAAUGAAUGGGCAUGGGCACAGAUUUGCCUUCUGGACAGAGAAAGCGUCCCCUCUUCUUCAGGGAACUCUACAGCCUGUCUUCAGGGUUCCAAAGGCAACCCCCUCUAUAUCUUACUAAACUUCAAUCAGACAGUUGCCAGAAGUAUUGACUGCCAACAUACAUGAAAAAGUUGUCCUUCGGGAAGGUGACCGUGCUAUAUGCACAUUGGCUCUUGUGUGCUCCAGAAUCAGAGACCUUGGUUCUCCAGACUCCUUCAGAAGACGGGCACAUUUUAA
Molecule: long non-coding RNA, 339 nt
Organism: Corythoichthys intestinalis (scribbled pipefish)
Lineage: Eukaryota; Metazoa; Chordata; Actinopteri; Syngnathiformes; Syngnathidae
Exons: 3
Source: RefSeq, a predicted model, not a curated record